CGGGGGGGCGGUCUAUACUGCAGUCGAGCGAAUGGAUGUAAGAGCUUGCUCUUAUGAAGUUAGCGGCGGACGGGUGAGUAACACGUGGGUAACCUGCCCGUACGACUGGGAUAACUCCGGGAAACCGGGGCUAAUACCGGAUAAUUUUUUCAAACGCAUGGGUCUAAAUUGAAAGGAGGUUUCGGCUGUCACUUAUGGAUGGACCCGCCUCUCAUUAGCUAGUGGGGGAGGUAACGGCUCACGAAAGCAACCAUGCCCAACCUACCUGGGAGGGCGAUCGGCCUGGCUGUGACUGACACCCCGCCCUCACUCCUACGGGAGGCAUCAGGAAGGAAUCUUCCUGAAUGAACGAAUGACUGACGGACCCCCCCCGCGUGAUUGAUGAAGGCUUUCCGGUCGUAAAACUCUGUUGGUAAGAAAGAACGGGAGGUACUUCAAUACUCUGGGACCUUGACGGUACCUACCCAGAUAGCCACGGGUAACUACCCGCCAGCAUCCGCAGGAAUACGUAGGUGGCAGGAGUUAUCCGGAAUUAUUGGGCGUCAAGCGCGCGCUUGUGGCUUCUUAGAUCUGAUGCGAAUCCCCCCGGCUCGGCCGUGUAGGGCCGUUGGACUCUGGUACACUUGAGUGCAGAGGAGGACCGUGUAUUUCCAUGUGUAGCGUAGAGAUGCGUAGAGAUAUGCAUGACACCGCUGGUCACUGCGACUUUACUGGACUGUAACUGACGCUGACGCGCGAAGCGAGGGGAUCAACACGCAUGACAUACCCUGCUAGUACACGUCGGUAGACCGAUGGAGUUGCUGAGUGCUAGGAGGGCUUUCGCGCCCUUUAGUGGCUGUAG
RNAcentral lists this ribosomal RNA (841 nucleotides) under uncultured Bacillus sp. RNAcentral describes it as "bacterial SSU rRNA". It matches the Rfam family "Bacterial small subunit ribosomal RNA", at positions 37 to 851 of the family's 1533-position model. Lineage: Bacteria; Bacillati; Bacillota; Bacilli; Caryophanales; Bacillaceae. The record is from RNAcentral.